RNAcentral lists this ribosomal RNA (458 nucleotides) under Theileria annulata. Its description in RNAcentral is "SSU rRNA". It matches the Rfam family "Eukaryotic small subunit ribosomal RNA", at positions 486 to 984 of the family's 1831-position model. Lineage: Eukaryota; Apicomplexa; Aconoidasida; Piroplasmida; Theileriidae. The record is from RNAcentral.
CGGGGCUUAAAGUCUUGUAAUUGGAAUGAUGGGAAUUUAAACCUCUUCCAGAGUAUCAAUUGGAGGGCAAGUCUGGUGCCAGCAGCCGCGGUAAUUCCAGCUCCGAUAGCGUAUAUUAAAAUUGUUGCAGUUAAAAAGCUCGUAGUUGAAUUUCUGCUGCAUUGCUUGUGUCCCUCUGGGGUCUGUGCAUGUGGCUUUUUUCGGACGGAGUUUCUUUGUCUGAAUGUUUACUUUGAGAAAAUUAGAGUGCUCAAAGCAGGCUUUCGCCUUGAAUAGUUUAGCAUGGAAUAAUAAAGUAGGACUUUGGUUCUAUUUUGUUGGUUUUAGGUACCAAAGUAAUGGUUAAUAGGAACAGUUGGGGGCAUUCGUAUUUAACUGUCAGAGGUGAAAUUCUUAGAUUUGUUAAAGACGAACUACUGCGAAAGCAUUUGCCAAGGAUGUUUUCAUUAAUCAAGAAC